This 503-nucleotide ribosomal RNA is filed under the name uncultured bacterium. RNAcentral describes it as "bacterial SSU rRNA". It matches the Rfam family "Bacterial small subunit ribosomal RNA", at positions 29 to 507 of the family's 1533-position model. The record is from RNAcentral.
AAUGAACGCUGGCGGCGUGCCUAACACAUGCAAGUCGCGCGAGAAAACCGACUUCGGUCGGUGAGUAGAGCGGCGAACGGGUGAGUAACACGUGGGCAACCUGCCUGAGAGUGGGGAAUAACCUGGGGAAACCCGGGCUAAUACCGCAUACGUUCGUGGGGCCUCGGCCCCGCGAGGAAAGCCGGCCUCUGCUUGCAAGCUGGCGCUCUCAGAGGGGCCCGCGCCCGAUUAGCCAGUUGGUGGGGUAACGGCCCACCAAAGCUACGAUGGAUAGCCGGCCUGAGAGGGUGAUCGGCCACACUGGGACUGAGAUACGGCCCAGACUCCUACGGGAGGCAGCAGUAGGGAAUAUUGCGCAAUGGACGAAAGUCUGACGCAGCAACGCCGCGUGCGGGAUGAAGCUUCUUGGAGUGUAAACCGCUGUCAGGAGGGACGAACGACCUAUAUUCUAAUAUAAUAUAGGUUUGACGGUACCUCCAGAGGAAGCUCCGGCUAACUCCGUG